Long non-coding RNA from Mus musculus (house mouse), 711 nucleotides. RefSeq annotates it as predicted gene, 53686. The transcript is spliced from 2 exons. The record is from RefSeq and is a predicted model, not a curated record. NCBI's taxonomy places the organism in Eukaryota, Metazoa, Chordata, Mammalia, Rodentia, Muridae.
GUCGGGUCGGCUGUGCGGAAGCGAGGCGGAAGGGAGGGUCGGGAUGACGGCGGCGAAGGCAGAUCGCCUGCCGGGGGAUGGAGAACACCGGAUGGGGCUGUUGGGCCGCUUAGCAGGGGCGGAGAGGACAGCGGGGGCUGGACGGGGCCUGAGGUGGGGCCGGAGGGGCCCGAAGGGGCCAGAGGGUGACAGACAGCACCUGAGGUGGGAUCGAAUAGGUCGGAGAGGAGGCUGAGAACCGGUGCGGGCCGGUCAGGGCCUGAGGAGGGGUCAAGGGGAUAGGGAGAUCCAGAGGAGACAUUAGGAGGGGCAUGGGGAAUGGAGAGCGCUGGAUGUGGUGUGGCCCUAUGGUGGACGCUGUGGGAUGAAGGAGCAGGCAGAACUGCCUGAAGGACCGAGGAGUUGUGUAAGGGACCAAGGAGCAGUGGGACAAGGGCAGGCAGCGCCGCCUGUCAGGGAAAGGACCAAGGGUGCUGGCAAUACGGAACCUGCCGGGCAUCUGUGUUUCUGUGUGACGGACAGGGUUCCCUGUGUGUGCAUCCCUGGGCAGGAGGGGGCAUCCAGAUACUUGGCUGUGGGUUGCAGCACUGCAGCCCUGAGACGGACACACGUGAAGGUCAUGUCAUGGUGAGCAUGGCACCAGUCUUGGCCCAGCUGGGCCUCUGCCCUAUCCUUUCCCAUUGUCCCCCGUGGCUGCUGAGGUGGUUCUGU